UACGGAGGGUGCAAGCGUUGUUCGGAUUUAUUGGGCGUAAAGCGCGUGUAGGCGGUUUCUUAAGUCUGAUGUGAAAGCCCCGGGCUCAACCCGGGAAGUGCAUUGGAUACUGGGAGACUUGAAUACGGGAGAGGGUAGUGGAAUUCCUAGUGUAGGAGUGAAAUCCGUAGAUAUUAGGAGGAACAACGGUGGCGAAGGCGGCUACCUGGACCGAUAUUGACGCUGAGACGCGAAAGCGUGGGGAGCAAACAGG
Molecule: ribosomal RNA, 253 nt
Filed under: uncultured bacterium
Lineage: Bacteria
Description: partial 16S ribosomal RNA
Rfam family: Bacterial small subunit ribosomal RNA
Source: RNAcentral